RNAcentral lists this long non-coding RNA (255 nucleotides) under Oryzias javanicus (javanese ricefish). RNAcentral's name for it is "lncRNA (ENSOJAG00000015362.1)". Lineage: Eukaryota; Metazoa; Chordata; Actinopteri; Beloniformes; Adrianichthyidae. The record is from RNAcentral.
CUUUUGUGUUGAAAGAGCCAGCUUGAUGUUUUUAUAACUGUAACACUUGUAAAUAUUCUGUGCUUUGCUUUUCUCUGCUUGAAGGGAGAUUCUGGUGGAUUACCAGGACCACCAGGACUUCCUGGUCCAAAGGGGGAGCCUGGAGAACCCAGUGUUGGAUCUUUGGGUGAAAGAGGAAUGCCAGGAUUACCGGGCGAACAUGGAGAAAAGGGUGAACCUGGUGAGAGCAUCAUUGGCCCCGCGGGAGCCUCUGGC